UGUAGUCAUAUGCUUGUCUCAAAGAUUAAGCCAUGCAGUCUAGUAUAAGCACUAUACGGUGAACUGCGAAUGGCUCAUUAAAUCAGUUAUCGUUUAUUUGAUAGUACCUUACUACAUGGAUAACCGUGGUAAUUCUAGAGCUAAUACAUGCUAAAAACCUCGACUUCGGAAGGGGUGUAUUUAUUAGAUAAAAAACCAAUGCCCUUCGGGGCUCCUUGGUGAAUCAUAAUAACUUAACGAAUCGCAUGGCCUUGCGCCGGCGAUGGUUCAUUCAAAUUUCUGCCCUAUCAACUUUCGAUGGUAGGAUAGUGGCCUACCAUGGUAUCAACGGGUAACGGGGAAUGGGGCGGGGGCGGCGGGCCGGGCGCGGGGCGCGGCGGG
Molecule: ribosomal RNA, 381 nt
Filed under: ascomycete sp. H22
Lineage: Eukaryota; Fungi; Ascomycota
Description: bacterial SSU rRNA
Rfam family: Eukaryotic small subunit ribosomal RNA
Source: RNAcentral